AUGUUCACAGUUCUAUAUCUUUAAGAGUAUCAUUUCUUUUUGAAAAUAACGUCGUCUGUCCUCAUUCAUCAUUUAACAAAAUUCUUCGUUUUCCCUAAUUUUAGACAGUGAACUAAAGAACUUUUGUUAUUUUAAAGCUCCUCUAGACAUGUAGGAGCCUUUUGUUAUUCUAUACGCUACCAAUUCAGCCUAUAUUAUUCUUCUUAAAUUUGUCAUCCAGUUGCCAUCAAAAGGCUAAACAAUUUAAAAUUCUGUCGUCUGUCCAGUUUUGUGUUUCUGAAAUGGGAAUUCUUUCUUAAUUUGCCAUGAAAAUGAUAGAUGCCUGAAACUUCAUUUUUGAUAGUGAGUGAUUCUGUUGCAGUUUAAAAGCAUGCUAAAUGCUUUGUGAUUGAAAUAAUGCGUUUUAAUUCUAAAGAAAUAUUAGCUGUGGCCUCACAGCCAUCUUAUAAAUUUGACAAGGAAGGAAUAUUAUUUAUUAGAGAAAAGCAUGAUAGCUUAUUCAGGAGAAAUGAUGUUUAUUCUCAGCGCUGGUGUCGAUUACGAGGAAAUCUGUUGUUUUAUUAUAAGACAAAAGAUCAGGUAAAUUUC
Stegodyphus dumicola is the source of this 588-nucleotide long non-coding RNA. NCBI's taxonomy places the organism in Eukaryota, Metazoa, Arthropoda, Arachnida, Araneae, Eresidae. The record is from RefSeq and is a predicted model, not a curated record.